Molecule: long non-coding RNA, 857 nt
Filed under: Rattus norvegicus (Norway rat)
Lineage: Eukaryota; Metazoa; Chordata; Mammalia; Rodentia; Muridae
Description: long non-coding RNA NONRATT008457
Source: RNAcentral
AGGAGGAGGAUUUCCCCAGGGAGGAACCCUUUUCUCCACUGCAUCCCCAUGCUCAGUCCUUCUCCUCAACCCAGCAAGCAGAGUCUAAGUGAUUGGGAUUUUCUUCUUGCAGCCAGAUCUUCUGGAGUCCAUUGGAUUGCAGCUUGGCUAGUGGUCACGUUAUCCAUCAUUCCCAGCAUCCUGCUAGCCUGACAAGAUCUCUCCUCAGUCAAGAAGGAAACAUCAAAGCCGUAUCUUGCCUUCAUCCCCUGCACUGCUCCUAACCAUUGACGCUGCUCUGGCUCCGUGGAGCAAAGGAAAGUGUGUUAUUGUUAUCUGUGCUGGUUUGAAUGCAUGCUCUAUGGAGUAAGCACAGGACCUAGUACAGUGCUACAUCACUGAUCUUUACAAAGAUUCUAAGCUAAUUUUUUAAAAACUGGGGGUAGCAUCUAAUUUUAUAUACCCUAGUUGUUUCCUAACAUUCAUUGAAGAUAAAUGCAUUCCUUUUACCAAAAUAUGUGGCUAUCUUAUACUAAUGUUGUUUAUAUCACUCUUUUUUUAUAAAGAUAAAUGCAUUCCUUUACCAAAAUAUGUGACUAUAUCAUGCUAAUGUUGUUUAUAUCACUCCUUUUUGUGAAGAUAAAUGCAUUCCUUUUACCAAAAUAUGUGACUAUGUCAUGCUAAUGUUGUUUAUAUCACUCUUUUUUAUAAAGAUAAAUGCAUUCCUUUUACCAAAAACAUGUGGCUAUAUUAUACUAAUGUUGUUUAUAUCACUCUUUUUUAUAAAGAUAAAUGCAUUCCUUCUACCAAAAUAUGUGACUAUAUCAUGCUAAUGUUGUUUAUAUCACCUUUUUAAAAAUAAAAUCUUUUCACAUACU